CUAAUACCGCGUAAGACCACAGCUUCACAUGGAGCGGGGGUCAAAGGAGCAAUCCGGAUAAAGAUGGGCUCGCGUCCGAUUAGCUAGUUGGUGAGAUAACAGCCCACCAAGGCGACGAUCGGUAGCCGACCUGAGAGGGUGAUCGGCCACAUUGGAACUGAGAGACGGUCCAGACUCCUACGGGAGGCAGCAGUGGGGAAUAUUGGGCAAUGGGCGAAAGCCUGACCCAGCAACGCCGCGUGAGGGAAGAAGGGUUUCGGCUCGUAAACCUCUGUCCUAUGGGACGAAGGAAGUGACGGUACCAUAGGAGGAAGCCCCGGCUAACUACGUGCCAGCAGCCGCGGUAAUACGUAGGGGGCGAGCGUUGUCCGGAAUGAUUGGGCGUAAAGGGCGCGUAGGCGGCCUGCUAAGUCUGGAGUGAAAGUCCUGCUUUCAAGGUGGGAAUUGCUUUGGAUACUGGUGGGCUGGAGUGCAGGAGAGGAAAGCGGAAUUACCGGUGUAGCGGUGAAAUGCGUAGAGAUCGGCAGGAACACCAGUGGCGAAGGCGGCUUUCUGGACUGAAACUGACGCUGAGGCGCGAAAGCGUGGGGAGCAAACAGGAUUAGAUACCCUGGUAGUCCACGCGGUAAAC
RNAcentral lists this ribosomal RNA (631 nucleotides) under uncultured bacterium. RNAcentral's name for it is "bacterial SSU rRNA". It matches the Rfam family "Bacterial small subunit ribosomal RNA", at positions 163 to 807 of the family's 1533-position model. The record is from RNAcentral.